AAUUGCAUAUACAUCCCUACGAACAUGAUGAAUUGCAUAUAUAUUUUUGUAAAGCUCAAUUUUCAUAAGUUAUUCCUACAAAAGUCAUAAUGUAUUCAGAUAUAUCACUGCCGUUAGGAUCCGUUAUAAAAAUUUCGUUAACCACAGUUAAAAUACUUAACUAUGGUAAAUUAAUAAUAUGAAUUGAUAAUUUUGCCCUUCUUCUUCCUCUUCUUCUUCUUCUUCUUCCCUUUCCUCUUCCUCUCCUGCUUCUUCUUCUUCCUCUUCUUCUCCAUAUCCUCCUUUUCCUCCUCCUUUUCUCCUCCUUCUUCUUCUUUUUCAUCGUCGUCGUCGAUAAUCCGAUCGUCAUCGUCGUCAUCGUGGUGCCCGCAUGGGUCGUCGUCACGGGCGCCUCCGACGACAUCGGCCGCGCCUUCGCCUUCCGCCUCUUCCUCGCCCUCGUUGGCCGCAACCCCGACAAGCUCCGCAAGGUCACCGUCGCUGUCGCCGCCGUCCGCUCCCGCAGCCUGAAGAGGAAGAGGAAGAGGAAGAGCGCAAGAGCAAAAUUAUCAUUUCACACCUCUACUGUUAAAAAAUUAAUAACUCUCUAACGGAUCCUAACCACAGAGAUAUAUCUGAAUACAUUAGGGGAGUGUUUGGUUCGCUUCUUUUUCACUCUGGAAUACGAGCGCAAGAGGGAGUGUUUGGUUCGCUUCUUUUUCACUCUGGAAUCGAAAUCGGAAUGGGCGAAUCCGUUUGUGGGUGUUUGGUACGCAGGAGUUCCAUUCCGAUUCCGAUUCCCGAGUGGAAUGAGAAUCCCGAAUCACCUUUUUUCUAAUCCGGCCUAAGAGGCCGGAUUGGAAGUUGAAUCCGGAUAAAAUAGAUAUUUAUUCGGAUUAAAUUUAU
RNAcentral lists this long non-coding RNA (885 nucleotides) under Ananas comosus (pineapple). RNAcentral's name for it is "long non-coding RNA (ACOM_LNC042086)". Lineage: Eukaryota; Viridiplantae; Streptophyta; Magnoliopsida; Poales; Bromeliaceae. The record is from RNAcentral.